UACGUAGGGUGCGAGCGUUAAUCGGAAUUACUGGGCGUAAAGGGUGCGUAGGCGGUCUUUAAAGUCCGUUGUGAAAGCCCCGGGCUUAACCUGGGAAUGGCAGUGGAAACUAGGAGACUUGGAAUCUGGCAGAGGGGGGUGGAAUUCCACGUGUAGCAGUGAAAUGCGUAGAGAUGUGGAGGAACACCGAUGGCGAAGGCAGCCCCCUGGGCCGCGAUUGACGCUGAGGGCACGAAAGCGUGGGGAGCAAACAGG
RNAcentral lists this ribosomal RNA (255 nucleotides) under uncultured bacterium. RNAcentral describes it as "partial 16S ribosomal RNA". It matches the Rfam family "Bacterial small subunit ribosomal RNA", at positions 524 to 776 of the family's 1533-position model. The record is from RNAcentral.